AAGAAAAUGAUUAAUUUUUCAUUAAAAUUUUUAUACAUUUCGAUCGAAUAAAAUUUGUUUUUAAAUACGUUAUCGAAUUUAAUUGGAAUUAACGAUCGAAAUCAUUUAACUUAAACGUGGCUAGAUUUUUUUAUAGACGUGAGACUAAUGAGGUUAUAAAAGAAUCUACAUAAUUAAGCUAAUUUUUGGCAUUUUCACUUUCCUUUCCCUUGUAAAUCGAAAUGAGACAUUCUCAUCGACGGAGACAAUUGUUGAUGAUGCUUCUCCAUGACAUAAUUAUUUCCUAGGAGUGCCAAAGGUCAGAUGAGAGAAUGUCGAGUAAUAAUAGCAUUACAGUACACGACUAUUGUUGUGCUGCAGGAAGUUGUAGGAGGGUAUUCACUUAGCUCUAAUUGUAAGCUUAACAAACUCCAUGUAACAACGCAUCUCCAUCUAAUAUCAGAAAAUUGUGUUAAAAUCUCAUAUUGUUUAUUUUUCUCUAAAUUUCUUCUUAUAAUAGCCAAUUUUCUUUUCAAAUAAUUAGCUCUAGUAUUCGUGGUCAUUGUUGUUAAUAUUAUAACUUUUUUUUUUUUUUUUAAAAAACGCCCUUUCUGAUUAAAAUUACCUAAAUAGUUUCCUUUAUCUGCGAUAAAUUGAGUUAGAUUAAAGUCAUAAAAACUCUAUAUAAACCAAAUAAUUACAAUUUAUUAAAUUUUCGUGAUGAUUUCCAACGGAACGUUCGUGUAUGUGACACGCUGCACGUAAAUGCCUCCUAGCCUUUAUAUAGAGGAGUUAAUAAAAUGGUCGUUCGAGUAUCAUAGAAUAGAUCUAUUUUAGAGUAUAAAGGCUGCACAGUAUCAAUGAGAUAAGGAAUAAUUUAAUAAAGCUGAAUUUUAUUUGUUACACUGGUUAUCUCAAUGACAAAAGAGUUUGUAACAAAACACCGGCUCGUAGGAUAUACAUAUAAAGAUUAGAGAUCAUUAAUAAUGCAAAAGUACAGUUGUGAAUCAAAUACUAUUCUUUAUGUUUCCUCUUAUUCCUGCU
This 1023-nucleotide long non-coding RNA is filed under the name Androctonus crassicauda. Lineage: Eukaryota; Metazoa; Arthropoda; Arachnida; Scorpiones; Buthidae. The record is from RNAcentral.